CCUACGGGAGGCAGCAGUAGGGAAUUUUCCACAAUGGACGAAAGUCUGAUGGAGCAAUGCCGCGUGAGGGAUGACGGUCUUCGGAUUGUAAACCUCUGUUGUAAGGGAAGAACACCCUGGAUAGGAAAUGAUCCAGGUUUGACGGUACCUUACCAGAAAGUCACGGCUAACUAUGUGCCAGCAGCCGCGGUAAUACAUAGGUGGCGAGCGUUAUCCGGAUUUAUUGGGCGUAAAGAGUGCACAGGUGGUUUAUCAAGUCAGGCGUUAAAGCCCGGGGCUCAACCCCGGUGUGCGUCUGAAACUGAUAGACUAGAGUAUCGGUGGGGUUAGUAGAAUUCCAUGUGUAGCGGUGGAAUGCAUAAAUAUAUGGAGGAAUACCAGUGGCGAAGGCGGCUAACUGAACGAUAACUGACACUUAAGCACGAAAGCGUGGGGAGCAAAUAGGAUUAGAUACCCUAGUAGUCCACGCCGUAAACGAUCCACACUAGACGUAGGGAAGACCCUGUGUCGCAGCUAACGCAUUAAGUGUGGCGCCUGGGUAGUAUGCACGCAAGUGUGAAACUCAAAGGAAUUGACGGA
Molecule: ribosomal RNA, 579 nt
Filed under: uncultured bacterium
Lineage: Bacteria
Description: bacterial SSU rRNA
Rfam family: Bacterial small subunit ribosomal RNA
Source: RNAcentral